This 265-nucleotide long non-coding RNA is filed under the name Hordeum vulgare. Its description in RNAcentral is "long non-coding RNA (HVUL_LNC019139)". Lineage: Eukaryota; Viridiplantae; Streptophyta; Magnoliopsida; Poales; Poaceae. The record is from RNAcentral.
GAAGAGUUCCAUAGCAAGUCAAGUGGUGCAUAAAAAUCUUCAAGUGAUACUCCCACUACGUCAAGUGACAGCCUUGUUACCAAUUAAGAGAUAAGCCUCAUGGUUAAGAAAUUUAACAAGUUCUACAAGAAUAGAGGCAAAGAGAGAGCCUCCAACUCAAGAUAUGAAGAAAGGAAUUCAUGCAGUCAUGACCAAAGUUGUUACAAUUGUGGAAGACCCGGGAACUCUUCCAAUGAGUGCACGACCCCCUCCAAGAGAAGAGAAC